CAUGCAGUCGACGGUAACGGACCGCUGGGAUUCCUUCGGGAUGACCUUGGUGCCGACGAGUGGCGGACGGGUGAGUAACACGUAGGAAUCUGCCCAACAGUGGGGGACAACCCGGAGAAAUCCGGGCUAAUACCGCAUACGCCCUACGGGGGAAAGCGGGGGAUCUUCGGACCUUGCGCUGUUGGAGGAGCCUGCGUCGGAUUAGCUUGUUGGUGAGGUAAAGGCUCACCAAGGCUACGAUCCGUAGCUGGUCUGAGAGGAUGAUCAGCCACACUGGGACUGAGACACGGCCCAGACUCCUACGGGAGGCAGCAGUGGGGAAUAUUGCACAAUGGGCGAAAGCCUGAUGCAGCCAUACCGCGUGGGUGAAGAAGGCCUUAGGGUUGUAAAGCCCUUUCAGCAGGGAAGAAGGGUGCGAGGUUAAUACCCUCGUAUUUUGACGGUACCUGCAGAAGAAGCACCGGCUAACUCCGUGCCAGCAGCCGCGGUAAUACGGAGGGUGCGAGCGUUAAUCGGAAUUACUGGGCGUAAAGCGCACGCAGGCGGUUUGUUAAGCUAGAUGUGAAAGCCCCGGCGCUCACCGUGGGAUGGUCAUUUAGAACUGGGCAGACUAGAGUCUUAGAGAGGGGAGUAGAAUUCCGAGGUGUAGGCUGAUGAAGAUGCGUAGAUAUCGUGGAGGCAACCUCAGGUGGCGAAGCCGCGACUCCCGUGCCCAGUAGACGUGGACGCAUAUGUGCAAAGAGUGGUGCUUCGCGAAACUGAGAAAUAACAUACCCCGAGGUUUGUCCCACAUCGAUACAGCUCUGCUCUACUAGUCUGUGUUGCGCUCUUAUAAAGACGUCGGUAUCGGAAGCUAACGGCGCUAAACUAAAACCCGCCUGGGGAGUAGCGGCCUUCCAAGCUUAAAGAACUACAAAUGCACUUGACGGGGCCUGUCACAG
RNAcentral lists this ribosomal RNA (941 nucleotides) under uncultured Gammaproteobacteria bacterium. Its description in RNAcentral is "bacterial SSU rRNA". It matches the Rfam family "Bacterial small subunit ribosomal RNA", at positions 54 to 928 of the family's 1533-position model. Lineage: Bacteria; Pseudomonadati; Pseudomonadota; Gammaproteobacteria. The record is from RNAcentral.